AGCGAACGCUGGCGGCAUGCCUAACACAUGCAAGUCGAACGAGACCUUCGGGUCUAGUGGCGCACGGGUGCGUAACGCGUGGGAACCUGCCCUUAGGUUCGGAAUAACUCCCCGAAAGGGGUGCUAAUACCGGAUAAUGUCUUCGGACCAAAGAUUUAUCGCCUUUGGAUGGGCCCGCGUUGGAUUAGCUAGUUGGUAGGGUAAAAGCCUACCAAGGCGACGAUCCAUAGCUGGUCUGAGAGGAUGAUCAGCCACACUGGGACUGAGACACGGCCCAGACUCCUACGGGAGGUAGCAGUGGGGAAUAUUGGACAAUGGGCGAAAGCCUGAUCCAGCAAUGCCGCGUGAGUGAUGAAGGCCUUAGGGUUGUAAAGCUCUUUUACCCGGGAUGAUAAUGACAGUACCGGGAGAAUAAGCUCCGGCUAACUCCGUG
RNAcentral lists this ribosomal RNA (433 nucleotides) under uncultured bacterium. Its description in RNAcentral is "partial 16S ribosomal RNA". It matches the Rfam family "Bacterial small subunit ribosomal RNA", at positions 29 to 507 of the family's 1533-position model. The record is from RNAcentral.